RNAcentral lists this ribosomal RNA (375 nucleotides) under Salmonella enterica subsp. enterica serovar Bovismorbificans. Its description in RNAcentral is "bacterial SSU rRNA". It matches the Rfam family "Bacterial small subunit ribosomal RNA", at positions 1138 to 1512 of the family's 1533-position model. Lineage: Bacteria; Pseudomonadati; Pseudomonadota; Gammaproteobacteria; Enterobacterales; Enterobacteriaceae. The record is from RNAcentral.
CUCAAAGGAGACUGCCAGUGAUAAACUGGAGGAAGGUGGGGAUGACGUCAAGUCAUCAUGGCCCUUACGACCAGGGCUACACACGUGCUACAAUGGCGCAUACAAAGAGAAGCGACCUCGCGAGAGCAAGCGGACCUCAUAAAGUGCGUCGUAGUCCGGAUUGGAGUCUGCAACUCGACUCCAUGAAGUCGGAAUCGCUAGUAAUCGUGGAUCAGAAUGCCACGGUGAAUACGUUCCCGGGCCUUGUACACACCGCCCGUCACACCAUGGGAGUGGGUUGCAAAAGAAGUAGGUAGCUUAACCUUCGGGAGGGCGCUUACCACUUUGUGAUUCAUGACUGGGGUGAAGUCGUAACAAGGUAACCGUAGGGGAACC